Molecule: ribosomal RNA, 254 nt
Filed under: uncultured bacterium
Lineage: Bacteria
Description: partial 16S ribosomal RNA
Rfam family: Bacterial small subunit ribosomal RNA
Source: RNAcentral
GAUCCUGGCUCAGGAUGAACGCUGGCGGCGUGCUUAACACAUGCAAGUCGAACGGGAAACCUUUUAUUGAAGCUUCGGCAGAUUUAACUGGUUUCUAGUGGCGGACGGGUGAGUAACGCGUGGGUAACCUGCCUUGUACAGGGGGAUAACAGUCAGAAAUGACUGCUAAUACCGCAUAAGCGCACAGGACCGCAUGGUCCGGUGUGAAAAACUCCGGUGGUAUAAGAUGGACCCGCGUUGGAUUAGCUUGUUGG